GUAGGGAAUAUUGGACAAUGGGGGCAACCCUGAUCCAGCCAUGCCGCGUGUGUGAAGAAGGUCUUCGGAUUGUAAAGCACUUUAAGUUGGGAGGAAGGGCAGUAAGUUAAUACCUUGCUGUUUUGACGUUACCGACAGAAUAAGCACCGGCUAACUUCGUGCCAGCAGCCGCGGUAAUACGAAGGGUGCAAGCGUUAAUCGGAAUUACUGGGCGUAAAGCGCGCGUAGGUGGUUUUGUAAGUUGGAGGUGAAAUCCCCGGGCUCAACCUGGGAACUGCCUCCAAAACUGCAUGACUAGAGUACGGUAGAGGGUAGUGGAAUUUCCUGUGUAGCGGUGAAAUGCGUAGAUAUAGGAAGGAACACCAGUGGCGAAGGCGACUACCUGGACUGAUACUGACACUGAGGUGCGAAAGCGUGGGGAGCAAACAGGAUUAGAAACCCCAGUAGUCC
This 450-nucleotide ribosomal RNA is filed under the name uncultured bacterium. RNAcentral's name for it is "bacterial SSU rRNA". It matches the Rfam family "Bacterial small subunit ribosomal RNA", at positions 354 to 796 of the family's 1533-position model. The record is from RNAcentral.